AGUGAGCGCUGGCGGUAGGCCUAACACAUGCAAGUCGAACGGCAGCACAGUAAGAGCUUGCUCUUACGGGUGGCGAGUGGCGGACGGGUGAGGAAUACAUCGGAAUCUACUUUUUCGUGGGGGAUAACGUAGGGAAACUUACGCUAAUACCGCAUACGACCUACGGGUGAAAGCAGGGGAUCUUCGGACCUUGCGCGAUUGAAUGAGCCGAUGUCGGAUUAGCUAGUUGGCGGGGUAAAGGCCCACCAAGGCGACGAUCCGUAGCUGGUCUGAGAGGAUGAUCAGCCACACUGGAACUGAGACACGGUCCAGACUCCUACGGGAGGCAGCAGUGGGGAAUAUUGGACAAUGGGCGCAAGCCUGAUCCAGCCAUACCGUGUGGGUGAAGAAGGCCUUCGGGUUGUAAAGCCCUUUUGUUGGGAAAGAAAAGCAGCAGGUUAAUACCCCGCUGUUCUGACGGUACCCAAAGAAUAAGCACCGGCUACUUCGUG
This 491-nucleotide ribosomal RNA is filed under the name uncultured bacterium. RNAcentral's name for it is "partial 16S ribosomal RNA". It matches the Rfam family "Bacterial small subunit ribosomal RNA", at positions 29 to 507 of the family's 1533-position model. The record is from RNAcentral.